RNAcentral lists this small nuclear RNA (313 nucleotides) under Serinus canaria (Common canary). RNAcentral describes it as "7SK RNA (ENSSCAG00000002859.1)". It matches the Rfam family "7SK RNA". Rfam says of the family: 7SK was discovered as an abundant small nuclear RNA in the mid-70s but a possible function has only recently been suggested. Two independent studies have found that 7SK RNA binds the CDK9/cyclin T complex (known as elongation factor P-TEFb). The record is from RNAcentral. Lineage: Eukaryota; Metazoa; Chordata; Aves; Passeriformes; Fringillidae.
AGAUGUGAGGGCAGUCUGGCUGCAACCCCUGUCACCCACUGAUGACCAGGUUGAUUGAGCUGACCCGGCUGGCCUGGUGAUUGUCCACUUCCUCCUCAAUGCUCCAUGUUCAUCCCUACCAAAGCUGCACCCUGGCUGAAGAGGGUGAUCUUCCCCAUGGAGAUGGUGCUGUUCAUUGGUCAGGGGUAUACAGUAGCCCUGCCCCCUGCUAGAAGCAACCGCCAAACAAGCUCAAGGUUUAUUAUUUAUGUUGUAAGUGCAGUUUCUCUAAUGAUUUUGCAGUGACCUGCCAAAGAUCUAAAGAAAAUAUUUU